CUCUAUGCCUCCUGCUGCCGGGACGCCCGCCCUUCCUUGCAGCCAGUGGACUAUGGACUGAAACCUCUACAAACUGUGAGCGAAAAUAAACCUUUCCAGGAGGAGAAUGGGGGGAAAAAAAGAAUCAAGGUGCCACGUACUCUGUCUCAGCAAUGAGAAAGUAACGAAGACAACUUCUAAUUGCUAUGACCAGCGAUGCAGUUACAAGUGAAAUGAAGAAUUUCCUGUGAUAUGGAAGUGUGAUGGACUGAACGUUGCAUCCUGAGAAGUCCUUACUCCCAGUGUGAUGGUGUUUGGAGGUGGGGCCUUAGCUCUCGUCUAAAUUGGGUUUAAAUGCGGUCACAAAGGUAGGUUCUCCUGAUGGGAUUUGUGUCCUUAUAAGAAGAAAAAAGAGAGACCA
Molecule: long non-coding RNA, 400 nt
Filed under: Chinchilla lanigera (long-tailed chinchilla)
Lineage: Eukaryota; Metazoa; Chordata; Mammalia; Rodentia; Chinchillidae
Description: lncRNA (ENSCLAG00000027319.1)
Source: RNAcentral